UACGAAGGGGGCUAGCGUUGUUCGGAAUCACUGGGCGUAAAGCGCACGCAGGCGGAUUGAUAUGUCAGGGGUGAAAUCCCGGAGCUCAACUUCGGAAUUGCCUUUGAUACUGUCUGUCUUGAGUCCGGGAGAGGUGAGUGGAAUUCCUAGUGUAGAGGUGAAAUUCGUAGAUAUUAGGAAGAACACCAGUGGCGAAGGCGGCUCACUGGCCCGGUACUGACGCUCAUGUGCGAAAGCGUGGGGAGCAAACAGG
Molecule: ribosomal RNA, 253 nt
Filed under: uncultured bacterium
Lineage: Bacteria
Description: partial 16S ribosomal RNA
Rfam family: Bacterial small subunit ribosomal RNA
Source: RNAcentral